RNAcentral lists this ribosomal RNA (857 nucleotides) under uncultured bacterium. Its description in RNAcentral is "bacterial SSU rRNA". It matches the Rfam family "Bacterial small subunit ribosomal RNA", at positions 28 to 898 of the family's 1533-position model. The record is from RNAcentral.
GACGAACGCUGGCGGCGUGCUUAACACAUGCAAGUCGAACGGAAAGGCCCUUUCGGGGGUACUCGAGUGGCGAACGGGUGAGUAACACGUGGGUGAUCUGCCCUGCACUUCGGGAUAAGCCUGGGAAACUGGGUCUAAUACCGGAUAGGACUACGGCCUGCAUGGGUUGUGGUGGAAAGCUUUUGCGGUGUGGGAUGGGCCCGCGGCCUAUCAGCUUGUUGGUGGGGUGAUGGCCUACCAAGGCGACGACGGGUAGCCGGCCUGAGAGGGUGACCGGCCACACUGGGACUGAGAUACGGCCCAGACUCCUACGGGAGGCAGCAUUGGGGAAUAUUGCACAAUGGGCGCAAGCCUGAUGCAGCGACGCCGCGUGAGGGAUGACGGCCUUCGGGUUGUAAACCUCUUUCAGUAUCGACGAAGCGCAAGCGACGGUAGGUACAGAAGAAGCGCCGGCCAACUACGUGCCAGCAGCCGCGGUAAGACGUAGGGCGCGAGCGUUGUCCGGAUUUAUUGGGCGUAAAGAGCUCGUAGGCGGCUUGUUGCGUCCAUCGUGAAAACUCAGGGCUUAACUCUGAGCUUGCGGUGGAUACGGGCAGGCUAGAGUUCGGUAGGGGAGUCUGGAAUUCCUGGUGUAGCGGUGAAAUGCGCAGAUAUCAGGAGGAACACCGAUGGCGGAGGCAGGACUCUGGGCCGAUACUGACGCUGAGGAGCGAAAGCGUGGGGAGCAAACAGGAUUAGAUACCCUGGUAGUCCACGCUGUAAACGUUGGGAACUAGGUGUGGGGUGCCUCUCCGGUGUCCUGUGCCGCAGCUAACGCAUUAAGUUCCCCGCCUGGGGAGUACGGCCGCAAGGCUAAA